This 400-nucleotide RNase P RNA is filed under the name Myxococcales bacterium. RNAcentral's name for it is "RNase P RNA component class A". It matches the Rfam family "Bacterial RNase P class A". Rfam says of the family: Ribonuclease P (RNase P) is a ubiquitous endoribonuclease, found in archaea, bacteria and eukarya as well as chloroplasts and mitochondria. Lineage: Bacteria; Pseudomonadati; Myxococcota; Myxococcia; Myxococcales. The record is from RNAcentral.
CGAGCGGCUCAGGCGAUCGCCGGGCAGCGCGUCCCUCGGGAGGCGUUGCCGGGAGGAAAGUCCGGGCUCCGCAGGGCAGGAUGCCGGGUAACGCCCGGUGAGGGUGACCUCGAGGAAAGUGCAACAGAAAACAAACCGCCGAGCUCCCUCCCUCGGGAGGUGCGCUCGGUAAGGGUGAAACGGUGGGGUAAGAGCCCACCGCGCCGGCGGUAACGCAGGCGGCUAGGCAAACCCCAUCCGGAGCAAGGCCAAGAAGGAAGCGCCCGAGAGCUGCCCGCUCGAUGCUUCCGGGUAGGCUGCUCGAGCCAGCCGGCGACGGCUGGCCUAGAGGAAUGAUCGCCAGGGUGCUCGGGGUGACCGGAGCACCUCCACAGAACCCGGCUUACGAGCCACUCGGUCC